CUGGCUUUGUUAGGGUCAUUCUAGUCAAGAGGGACUUCCCAUUCGUAUCCUUUUUAUCUAAUGCAUUCUGUGGCUUAUAACCCAAAUCUGUCCCGGUGUUCCAUCCAACUGAGCCCCAAUAAUCACAAUUGUUACCCCUCUUUGAGCAAUAUAUAUUGCUCAUAUCAUCGGUUAACAUUCUCCCAAAACAGAGAAAUUUCCACAUUAUGGCAUUCCCAAGCAAUCAUGUGGUCUACAAGAAACAGAAACUCAGCAGAAAAAAACCAAAACAAAAAACACUUAAUACUUUUGCAGACAGAUAUAUAGAAAAUGGAUGUUUAAGACAGAAUGGAACUUAUAGCAACUAUGUUAUUGCACAACCAGGACCUUGCGUCCUAUAUCUUUUAACCAUUUCCCUCUUCCAAAAGUCCAGUCAAAACCAGUCAUAUCCUCACGCAAUUUCUCAAAACAUGGGAAUCCAUCCCUAGCACACUCAACAUAUAUCCACAACACACAUAGUACAUCCAUCCCUGGGUCAGCUAACACUUCCUCUCUCUCUGGCUAACUCUACAAAAAUAAAAAUAAAAAUAGUUCAAUAGUUCAGCAUAGUUCAGAAAAAUAGAAUAAGUCUUUCACAGAGUAUAAAGAAAUCAGUUUAGACACCAGACAUUUUGUUCCAUAAAAAUGGCUAAGGGUAGCAAUAUGGCUGACAACAAGACAAUGUCAGCUUCCAUAUAGUUCUUAGUUCUUCUUUUGUUUGCUGGAUUUUCACCACAAAGCUCUGUGCAACACCCCAAUGGUUGAAAGGGUU
Molecule: non-coding RNA, 790 nt
Organism: Pelobates cultripes (western spadefoot toad)
Lineage: Eukaryota; Metazoa; Chordata; Amphibia; Anura; Pelobatidae
Source: the annotation of a GenBank genome assembly